Molecule: long non-coding RNA, 616 nt
Organism: Bos taurus (domestic cattle)
Lineage: Eukaryota; Metazoa; Chordata; Mammalia; Artiodactyla; Bovidae
Source: Ensembl
CCCCUUGGACUAUACAGCCCAUGGAAUUCUUCAGGCCAGAGCACGAGUGAGUAGUCAUUCCCUGCUCCAGGGGAUCUUCCCAACGCAGGGAUCGAACCGAGGUCUCCUGCAUUGCAAUCGGAUUCUUUACCAACUGAGCUACCAGGGAAGCUCUGUAAUGAGGAUUUUAACUUGGCCAGGUUGAUUCACUUCUGUGAUCUUCAGUUACCUCACCAGUGAAUGAGGUAAUAUCUCCUGUUGCAGGGGGCGCUCAGCAAACACCCUGUCCCAUGGGCUUCCUCCUCUCAUGCAUCCUGUGCAGGAGGAAGGUUGAUGUCCUCCUAGACUUUGCCGUGAGUUUUAAUAAGAUGGUGUUGGUCUCUUCAGCUCCAGAGAGUCCGACCUGAAAAGCACAAGUCUCAGUACACAGCGUGGUCUGUAGUGGCCUCGGAGAUACACGUGCACUCCAGGUCAUUAAGGAAAUCAGGACGGCACUUAACAGACCAGAGAAAGGACCAAACAGAUUUUCAUAAAAUGGCAGAGCUCCUGUCCCUUUUGCUUUUUUUUGGUGGGAAUUAGUAUCAAUGGGUAGGACUCUAGGAUGUCUUACAAGAAGACACUUGUAUUGUCUUUAUUG